GGGAAGGUGGCUCAAUGGUAGAGUGCUUGCCUUGCAUGUAUGAGGCUCUAGGUUCAAUUCCUCAGCAUCACA
Non-coding RNA from Dipodomys ordii (Ord's kangaroo rat), 72 nucleotides. NCBI's taxonomy places the organism in Eukaryota, Metazoa, Chordata, Mammalia, Rodentia, Heteromyidae. The record is from Rfam.